Molecule: long non-coding RNA, 394 nt
Filed under: Sorghum bicolor (sorghum)
Lineage: Eukaryota; Viridiplantae; Streptophyta; Magnoliopsida; Poales; Poaceae
Description: long non-coding RNA (SBIC_LNC001392)
Source: RNAcentral
UCCUCACUGGACGUAGGGCAUUCUUAGCCUGAUCCAGUAUACAUCGCUUGUGUCCCUCCUGCAUCACCAUCUAGAUUCUAGGCACGCAGACACAAAUUUACUAGUUGGUGCUAGGACCACGGGUCCAAACACCGACACCUUGUAUCAUACUCUUUUAUCUUUUCUUCUUAUCUUUUCAUUCUUUUCUUUUAUUUUCCAUUAUGAAUUCUAAUCCUAUCAAUCAAUUUGCUCAACCCACGAGCACAAGCUUAAAGCCACCAAAAUCUUCAAAGCCUAUCCUAACACCUGGCUAUGAAUUAUGCCUGUAUUUUAUAAACAAGAUUCAAGAACAACCCUUCUCGAGAGAAGACGAUGCUAACCUAUACUUGCACCUACGAGAGUUUGAGCUGACAUG